RNAcentral lists this ribosomal RNA (253 nucleotides) under uncultured bacterium. Its description in RNAcentral is "partial 16S ribosomal RNA". It matches the Rfam family "Bacterial small subunit ribosomal RNA", at positions 524 to 776 of the family's 1533-position model. The record is from RNAcentral.
UACGUAGGGGGCAAGCGUUGUUCGGAAUUACUGGGCGUAAAGGGCUCGUAGGCGGCCAACUAAGUCAUACGUGAAAUCCCUCAGCUUAACUGGGGAACUGCGUGUGAUACUGGAUGGCUUGGAUUUGGGAGAGGGAUGCGGAAUUCCAGGUGUAGCGGUGAGAUGCGUAGAUAUCUGGAGGAACACCGGUGGCGAAGGCGGCAUCCUGGACCAAUAUUGACGCUGAGGAGCGAAAGCCAGGGGAGCAAACGGG